RNAcentral lists this ribosomal RNA (526 nucleotides) under Babesia bovis. RNAcentral's name for it is "SSU rRNA". It matches the Rfam family "Eukaryotic small subunit ribosomal RNA", at positions 1208 to 1760 of the family's 1831-position model. Lineage: Eukaryota; Apicomplexa; Aconoidasida; Piroplasmida; Babesiidae. The record is from RNAcentral.
UGUUACCUCACCCAGUCCAGACAGCGUAAGGAUUGACAGGUUGAUUGUCCUUUCUUGAUUCUCUGGGUAGUGGUGCAUGGCCGUUCUUAGUUGGUGGAGUGAUUUGUCUGGUUAAUUCCGUUAACGAACGAGACCUUAACCUGCUAUUUAGUCGCUCGGUCUCCGUCCGUGCGCACUUCAUAGAGGGACUCUGCGGCGUCAAGCUGCGGUGAGGUUUAAGGCAAUAACAGGUCUGUGAUGCCCUUAGAUGUCCUGGGCUGCACGCGCGCUACACUGAUGCUUGCCUCGUGUUUACCCUCGGCCGAUAGGCCCUGGUAACCCCUAGUCUGCAUCGUGUUUGGGAUUGAUCUUUGCAAUUCUAGAUCAUGAACGAGGAAUGCCUAGUAUGCGCAAGUCAUCAGCUUGUGCAGAUUACGUCCCUGCCACUUUGUACAACNCCGCCNGUCNCUCCUACCGNUCGNGUGAUCCGGUGAGUUGUUCGGAACCUGCUUGCGCGCUCCGUCGCCGCUCGCGGGCCCUGUUUUGU